This 375-nucleotide ribosomal RNA is filed under the name Enterobacter cloacae. RNAcentral describes it as "bacterial SSU rRNA". It matches the Rfam family "Bacterial small subunit ribosomal RNA", at positions 73 to 453 of the family's 1533-position model. Lineage: Bacteria; Pseudomonadati; Pseudomonadota; Gammaproteobacteria; Enterobacterales; Enterobacteriaceae. The record is from RNAcentral.
CUUGCUACUUUUGCCGGCGAGCGGCGGACGGGUGAGUAAUGUCUGGGAAACUGCCUGAUGGAGGGGGAUAACUACUGGAAACGGUAGCUAAUACCGCAUAACGUCGCAAGACCAAAGAGGGGGACCUUCGGGCCUCUUGCCAUCAGAUGUGCCCAGAUGGGAUUAGCUAGUAGGUGGGGUAACGGCUCACCUAGGCGACGAUCCCUAGCUGGUCUGAGAGGAUGACCAGCCACACUGGAACUGAGACACGGUCCAGACUCCUACGGGAGGCAGCAGUGGGGAAUAUUGCACAAUGGGCGCAAGCCUGAUGCAGCCAUGCCGCGUGUAUGAAGAAGGCCUUCGGGUUGUAAAGUACUUUCUGCGGGGAGGAAGGUG